This is a non-coding RNA of Rattus norvegicus (Norway rat), 63 nucleotides long. The record is from Rfam. NCBI's taxonomy places the organism in Eukaryota, Metazoa, Chordata, Mammalia, Rodentia, Muridae.
GGGGAUUUGGCUCAGUGGUAGAGCGCUUGCCUAGCAAGUACAAGGCCCUGGGUUCAGUCCCCA